GGGGAAUUUUGGACAAUGGGGGAAACCCUGAUCCAGCCAUCCCGCGUGUAUGAUGAAGGCCUUCGGGUUGUAAAGUACUUUUGGCAGAGAAGAAAAGGUAUCUCCUAAUACGAGAUACUGCUGACGGUAUCUGCAGAAUAAGCACCGGCUAACUACGUGCCAGCAGCCGCGGUAAUACGUAGGGUGCAAGCGUUAAUCGGAAUUACUGGGCGUAAAGCGUGUGUAGGCGGUUCGGAAAGAAAGAUGUGAAAUCCCAGGGCUCAACCUUGGAACUGCAUUUUUAACUGCCGAGCUAGAGUAUGUCAGAGGGGGGUAGAAUUCCACGUGUAGCAGUGAAAUGCGUAGAUAUGUGGAGGAAUACCGAUGGCGAAGGCAGCCCCCUGGGAUAAUACUGACGCUCAGACACGAAAGCGUGGGGAGCAAACA
This 426-nucleotide ribosomal RNA is filed under the name uncultured Alcaligenes sp. RNAcentral's name for it is "bacterial SSU rRNA". It matches the Rfam family "Bacterial small subunit ribosomal RNA", at positions 356 to 774 of the family's 1533-position model. Lineage: Bacteria; Pseudomonadati; Pseudomonadota; Betaproteobacteria; Burkholderiales; Alcaligenaceae. The record is from RNAcentral.